Xenia sp. Carnegie-2017 is the source of this 1072-nucleotide long non-coding RNA. RefSeq lists it as uncharacterized. The record is from RefSeq and is a predicted model, not a curated record. NCBI's taxonomy places the organism in Eukaryota, Metazoa, Cnidaria, Anthozoa, Malacalcyonacea, Xeniidae. The transcript is spliced from 9 exons.
GUUUCGCAUCAAUGUUCAUUCAAUUGCUUCAAGUUUUGUCACAGCCACAAACGAAGAAUGUUUACGAAGCUCAAAGCCACAUGUUUGAUAAGUGUCGUCGUCGUCUGUACAAUUCGCAUUGUAUGUUUGUAAAAUAAAGCAAUGUUACACUUCGUUCGUUGAAGUUUGGUGAAGAAGCCAUUAUCUUUAAAGUUGAAAGCGAUGUGGUGCGGAUAUAAUCAACAACAACUUGAUUUUCACGUUUGCCAGAGUCAGGAAUACUUUUAAAAAAGUUUUGACACCGCCAUACAUGAAGAAUAAUGUUUACGAAGCGCAAAGCCACAUGAUGUGACAAGCUGAUGAAAAGCUUGAGUAUCUGUUCAAGGAUUAUCGACGAUGAUCAUCGUGUGGUACAAGGCCUGCUCCUUUUCCCUCCCUUUAGCUAGGUGCGCUGAGAGAAGGUCCCUGACAAAGGACGGGUUGCGUGUUCUUCGGAGCUCGCUUUAACGUAACGUGGUCAUGUCGGACUAGAGCGCCCCAUUAGGCUCCCGCAAUGAAAUUUUCUGAUAAAGAUACAUUCUUAGAUAAUUAAGUCAAGCAGUUAAGUUAAGAAAAGUUCCUUUGUUUGUCUGAGGGAGCAAAAUAAAAGGGUCUAUGUUAUUGUGUGUAGUUGGUGUCAUUGUAAGGUUUAAGCUGGUGAGUUUACAAAUGUUUGGAUAAGGUUUGGACGAGGAACCACCUUAGACUUGAAGGUCAAUACGGGGACAUGUAUCUUUGCCAAGACGUCAACAAAUCCAUUAAGCCCACUUCCAUCUCAGCAACAAUGGAAGAAACUUGCGUUGCUGAGCUCUGCUGGCUGGGUGGCGUCACCGCACAUCGACCCAGCUACCCAAUGACUUCCCUGAAUUUUCAUUAUGUGAAAACUGAAAAAAAAAGAAUGAUUGUGCAUGCAUGAAGGAGUAUUGGUACCAACCAAGUAAGGAGCAUUACAACUUGUUACUACUUGUACCAAAAUGACAAAAAGAUUUAUUAACAAUUGUGAUUUUUCUGAACAAUGAUGAAAGUGCAUGUCAACUUCUUUAACAGAAGGGGA